This 494-nucleotide ribosomal RNA is filed under the name uncultured bacterium. RNAcentral's name for it is "partial 16S ribosomal RNA". It matches the Rfam family "Bacterial small subunit ribosomal RNA", at positions 28 to 507 of the family's 1533-position model. The record is from RNAcentral.
GACGAACGCUGGCGGCGUGCUUAACACAUGCAAGUCGAACGGAAAGGCCUGCUUUCCCUUGUGGAUUGCGGGUACUCGAGUGGCGAACGGGUGAGUAACACGUGAGUGAUCUGCCCCCAACUUGGGUAUAAGCCUGGGAAACUGGGUCUAAUUCCCGAUAGGACUGCAGGGUGGUGCCUGUGGUGGAAAACGAUUUUCUAGUGGUUGGGGAUGAGCUCGCGGCCUAUCAGCUUGUUGGUGGGGUAAUGGCCUACCAAGGCGGCGACGGGUAGCCGGCCUGAGAGGGUGGACGGGCACAUUGGGACGGAGAUACGGCCCAGACUCCGACGGGAGGCAGCAGUGGGGAAUAUUGCACAAUGGGCGGAAGCCUGAUGCAGCGACGCCGCGUGGGGGAUGACGGCCUUCGGGUUGUAAACUCCUUUCGACCGCGAGGAAGCCACCUGGUUGGAAGGGUGGUGACGGUAGUGGUAGAAGAAGCACCGGCUAACUACGUG